UACGGGCGGCUCCAGUGGGGAAUAUUGCGCAAUGGGGGAAACCCUGACGCAGCGACGCCGCGUGUAGGAAGAAGGCCUUCGGGUCGUAAACUACUGUCAGGAGGGAAGAAACUGUUAAGGUCGAAUAGGCCUUUUCACUGACGGUACCUCCAGAGGAAGCACCGGCUAACUCCGUGCCAGCAGCCGCGGUAAUACGGAGGGUGCGAGCGUUAAUCGGAAUCACUGGGCGUAAAGCGUGCGUAGGCGGCGUGGUAAGUCAGGCGUGAAAGCCCUCGGCUCAACCGAGGAAUUGCGCUUGGUACUGCCAUGCUAGAGUCUCGGAGAGGUUGGCGGAAUUCCAGGUGUAGGAGUGAAAUCCGUAGAUAUCUGGAGGAACACCGGUGGCGAAGGCGGCCAACUGGACGAGUACUGACGCUGAGGUACGAAAGCGUGGGGAGCAAACAGGAUUAGAUACCCCGGUAGUC
Molecule: ribosomal RNA, 464 nt
Filed under: uncultured bacterium
Lineage: Bacteria
Description: partial 16S ribosomal RNA
Rfam family: Bacterial small subunit ribosomal RNA
Source: RNAcentral